AGAGUUUGAUCCUGGCUCAGAUUGAACGCUGGCGGUAUGCCUUACACAUGCAAGUCGAACGGUAGAGGAGCAAUCCUCGAGAGUGGCGAACGGGUGAGUAAUACAUCGGAACGUGCCCAGUCGUGGGGGAUAACGUAGCGAAAGCUACGCUAAUACCGCAUACGACCCGAGGGUGAAAGCGGGGGACUCGCAAGAGCCUCGCGCGAUUGGAGCGGCCGAUGGCAGAUUAGGUAGUUGGUGGGGUAAAGGCCCACCAAGCCUGCGAUCUGUAGCUGGUCUGAGAGGACGACCAGCCACACUGGGACUGAGACACGGCCCAGACUCCUACGGGAGGCAGCAGUGGGGAAUUUUGGACAAUGGGCGAAAGCCUGAUCCAGCCAUACCGCGUGCGGGAAGAAGGCCUUCGGGUUGUAAACCGCUUUUGUCAGGGAAGAAAUACUUCGGGCUAAUACCCUGGGGUGAUGACGGUACCUGAAGAAUAAGCACCGGCUAACUACGUGCCAGCAGCCGCGGUAAUACGUAGGGUGCAAGCGUUAAUCGGAAUUACUGGGCGUAAA
RNAcentral lists this ribosomal RNA (557 nucleotides) under uncultured bacterium. Its description in RNAcentral is "bacterial SSU rRNA". It matches the Rfam family "Bacterial small subunit ribosomal RNA", at positions 8 to 564 of the family's 1533-position model. The record is from RNAcentral.